This 235-nucleotide ribosomal RNA is filed under the name uncultured Actinomycetales bacterium. RNAcentral describes it as "partial 16S ribosomal RNA". It matches the Rfam family "Bacterial small subunit ribosomal RNA", at positions 101 to 334 of the family's 1533-position model. The record is from RNAcentral. Lineage: Bacteria; Bacillati; Actinomycetota; Actinomycetes; Actinomycetales.
UGGCAACGGGUGAGUAACACGUGGGUAAUCUGCCCUGCACUCUGGGAUAAGCCUGGGAAACUGGGUCUAAUACUGGAUAUGACCUUUCUCCUUAUGGGGUUUGGUGGAAAGUUUUUCGGUGUAGGAUGAGCCCGCGGCCUAUCAGCUUGUUGGUGGGGUGAUGGCCUACCAAGGCGACGACGGGUAGCCGGCCUGAGAGGGUGAUCGGCCACAUUGGGACUGAGAUACGGCCCAG